Molecule: ribosomal RNA, 497 nt
Filed under: uncultured bacterium
Lineage: Bacteria
Description: partial 16S ribosomal RNA
Rfam family: Bacterial small subunit ribosomal RNA
Source: RNAcentral
GAUGAACGCUGGCGGCGUGCCUAAUACAUGCAAGUCGAGCGAACGGACGAGAAGCUUGCUUCUCUGAUGUUAGCGGCGGACGGGUGAGUAACACGUGGAUAACCUACCUAUAAGACUGGGAUAACUUCGGGAAACCGGAGCUAAUACCGGAUGAUAUUUUGAACCGCAUGGUUCAAAAGUGAAAGACGGUCUUGCUGUCACUUAUAGAUGGAUCCGCGCUGCAUUAGCUAGUUGGUAAGGUAAUGGCUUACCAAGGCAACGAUGCAUAGCCGACCUGAGAGGGUGAUAGGACACACUGGAACUGAGACAAGGUCCAGACUCCUACGGGAGGCAGCAGUAGGGAAUCUUCCGCAAUGGGAGAAAGCAUGACGGAGCAAAGCCGCGUGAGUGAUGAAGGUCUUCGGAUCGUAAAACUCUGUUAUUAGGGAAGAACAUAUGUGUAAGUAACUGUGCACAUCUUGACGGUACCUAAUCAGAAAGCCACGGCUAACUACGUG